GAACGCUGGCGGCGUGCCUAAUACAUGCAAGUCGAGCGAACAGACGAGGAGCUUGCUCCUCUGACGUUAGCAGCGGACGGGUGAGUAACACGUGGAUAACCUACCUAUAAGACUGGGAUAACUUCGGGAAACCGGAGCUAAUACCGGAUAAUAUAUUGAACCGCAUGGUUCAAUAGUGAAAGACGGUUUUGCUGUCACUUAUAGAUGGAUCCGCGCCGCAUUAGCUAGUUGGUAAGGUAACGGCUUACCAAGGCAACGAUGCGUAGCCGACCUGAGAGGGUGAUCGGCCACACUGGAACUGAGACACGGUCCAGACUCCUACGGGAGGCAGCAGUAGGGAAUCUUCCGCAAUGGGCGAAAGCCUGACGGAGCAACGCCGCGUGAGUGAUGAAGGUCUUCGGAUCGUAAAACUCUGUUAUUAGGGAAGAACAAAUGUGUAAGUAACUAUGCACGUCUUGACGGUACCUAAUCAGAAAGCCACGGCUAACUACGUG
Molecule: ribosomal RNA, 494 nt
Filed under: uncultured bacterium
Lineage: Bacteria
Description: partial 16S ribosomal RNA
Rfam family: Bacterial small subunit ribosomal RNA
Source: RNAcentral